UAAGGAAUAUUGCUCAAUGGGAGAAAUCCUGAAGCAGCAACGCCGCGUGGAGGAUGAAGGGUCUAUGACUUGUAAACUCCUGUAAAGAAGGAAAAAAUUCCCAUUUGAUGGGAGAUGAUGGUACUUCUGGAGUAAGCCCCGGCUAACUACGUGCCAGCAGCCGCGGUAAUACGUAGGGGGCAAGCGUUGUCCGGAUUUACUGGGUGUAAAGGGUGCUCAGGCGGAUUUGUAAGUCAGAGGUGAAAUCUUACAGCUUAACUGUGAAGCUGCCUUUGAUACUGCAAGCCUAGAGUAUGGAAGAGGGUGAUGGAAUAUCUGGUGUAGCAGUGAAAUGCGUAGAUAUCAGAUAGAACUCCAAUGGCGAAGGCAGUCACUUGGUCCAUUACUGACGCUAAAGCACGAAAGCGUGGGUAGCAAACA
Molecule: ribosomal RNA, 420 nt
Filed under: uncultured bacterium
Lineage: Bacteria
Description: bacterial SSU rRNA
Rfam family: Bacterial small subunit ribosomal RNA
Source: RNAcentral